Molecule: ribosomal RNA, 376 nt
Filed under: uncultured bacterium
Lineage: Bacteria
Description: bacterial SSU rRNA
Rfam family: Bacterial small subunit ribosomal RNA
Source: RNAcentral
AUACGUAGGGGGCAAGCGUUGUCCGGAAUUAUUGGGCGUAAAGCGCGCGCAGGCGGUUCUUUAAGUCUUGUGUUUAAUGCCGUGGCUCAACCACGGUCCGCAUGGGAAACUGGGGAACUGGAGUGCAGGAGAGGAAAGUGGAAUUCCACGUGUAGCGGUGAAAUGCGUAGAGAUGUGGAGGAACACCAGUGGCGAAGGCGACUUUCUGGCCUGUAACUGACGCUGAGGCGCGAAAGCGUGGGGAGCAAACAGGAUUAGAUACCCUGGUAGUCCACGCCGUAAACGAUGAGUGCUAGGUGUCGGGGGUUUCGAUACCUUCGGUGCCGAAGUAAACGCAAUAAGCACUCCGCCUGGGGAGUACGUUCGCAAGAAUGAA